GAGUUUGAUCAUGGCUCAGAACGUACGCUGGCGGCACGCCUAACACAUGCAAGUCGAACGAAGUAGCAAUACUUAGUGGCAGACGGGUGAGUAACAUGUAGGUAUCUGCCCUUUGGCCUGGAAUAACACGAGGAAACUUGUGCUAAUACCGGAUAAGUCUUUACGGAGAAAGCUUUAUGCACCAUUGGAUGAGCCUGCACUUGAUUAGUUUGUUGGUGGGGUAAUGGCCUACCAAGACUGUGAUCAAUAGCUGAUUUGAGAGGAUGAUCAGCCACAUUGGGACUGAGACACGGCCCAAACUCCUACGGGAGGCAGCAGUGGGGAAUCUUGCACAAUGGAGGAAACUCUGAUGCAGCGAUGCCGCGUGAGUGAAGAAGGCCCUUGGGUUGUAAAGCUCUUUCGUCGGGGAAGAAAAUGACUGUACCCGAAUAAGAAGGUCCGGCUAACUUCGUGCCAGCAGCCGCGGUAAUACGAAGGGACCUAGCGUAGUUCGGAAUUACUGGGCUUAAAGAGUUCGUAGGUGGUUGAAAAAGUUAGUGGUGAAAUCCCAGAGCUUAACUCUGGAACUGCCAUUAAAACUUUUCAGCUAGAGUAUGAUAGAGGAAAGCAGAAUUUCUAGUGUAGGGGUGAAAUUCGUAGAUAUUAGAAAGAAUACCAAUUGCGAAGGCAGCUUUCUGGAUCAUUACUGACACUGAGGAACGAAAGCAUGGGUAGCGAAGAGGAUUAGAUACCCUCGUAGUCCAUGCCGUAAACGAUGUGUGUUAGACGUUGGAAAUUUAUUUUCAGUGUCGCAGGGAAACCGAUAAACACACCGCCUGGGGAGUACGACCGCAAGGUUAAAACUCAAAUGAAUUGACGGGGACCCGCACAAGUAGUGGAGCAUGUGGUUUAAUUCGAAGAUACGCGCAGAACCUUACCAACACUUGACAUGUUCGUCGCGACUCUAAGAGAUUAGAGUUUUCGGUUCGGCCGGACGAAACACAGGUGCUGCAUGGCUGUCGUCAGCUCGUGUCGUGAGAUGUUGGGUUAAGUCCCGCAACGAGCGCAACCCUCACUUUUAGUUGCCAUCAUUAAGUUGGGCACUCUGAAAGAACUGCCAGUGAUAAGCUGGAGGAAGGUGGGGAUGACGUCAAGUCCUCAUGGCCCUUACGUGUUGGGCUACACACGUGCUACAAUGGUAUCUACAACAGGAAGCAAGACUGCGAAGUUAAGCAAAUCCCUAAAAGAUACCUCAGUUCGGAUUGCACUCUGCAACUCGAGUGCAUGAAGCUGGAAUUACUAGUAAUCGUGGAUCAGCGUGCCACGGUGAAUGCGU
This 1315-nucleotide ribosomal RNA is filed under the name unidentified marine bacterioplankton. Its description in RNAcentral is "bacterial SSU rRNA". It matches the Rfam family "Bacterial small subunit ribosomal RNA", at positions 9 to 1371 of the family's 1533-position model. The record is from RNAcentral.